AGCGGCGGACGGGUGAGUAAUGCCUGGGAAAUUGCCCUGAUGUGGGGGAUAACCAUUGGAAACGAUGGCUAAUACCGCAUAAUAGCUUCGGCUCAAAGAGGGGGACCUUCGGGCCUCUCGCGUCAGGAUAUGCCCAGAUGGGAUUAGCUAGUUGGUGAGGUAAUGGCUCACCAAGGCGACGAUCUCUAGCUGGUCUGAGAGGAUGAUCAGCCACACUGGAACUGAGACACGGUCCAGACUCCUACGGGAGGCAGCAGUGGGGAAUAUUGCACAGUGGGCGCAAGCCUGAUGCAGCCAUGCCGCGUGUAUGAAGAAGGCCUUCGGGUUGUAAAGUACUUUCAGCAGUGAGGAAGGUGGGUAUGUUAAUAGCAUAUUCAUUUGACGUUAGCUGCAGAAGAAGCACCAGCUAACUCCGUGCCAGCAGCCGCGGUAAUACGGAGGGUGCGAGCGUUAAUCGGAAUUACUGGGCGUAAAGCGCAUGCAGGUGGUUUGUUAAGUCAGAUGUGAAAGCCCGGGGCUCAACCUCGGAAUUGCAUUUGAAACUGGCAAA
This 550-nucleotide ribosomal RNA is filed under the name uncultured bacterium. RNAcentral describes it as "bacterial SSU rRNA". It matches the Rfam family "Bacterial small subunit ribosomal RNA", at positions 94 to 640 of the family's 1533-position model. The record is from RNAcentral.